GACGAACCGUGCGAACGUUAUUCGGAAUCACUGGGCUUAAAGCGCGUGUAGGCGGAUGGCCGCGUCGGCGUUGAAAUCCCCCGGCUCAACCGGGGGCGCGGCGCCGAAACGGGUCGUCUGGAGGGGUGUAGGGGGAGCUGGAACUUCCGGUGGAGCGGUGAAAUGCGUUGAGAUCGGAAGGAACGCCCGCGGCGAAAGCGAGCUCCUGGACACCCGCUGACGCUGAGACGCGAAAGCCAGGGGAGCGAACGGG
Molecule: unclassified non-coding RNA, 253 nt
Filed under: uncultured Planctomycetia bacterium
Lineage: Bacteria; Pseudomonadati; Planctomycetota; Planctomycetia
Description: contains 16S-23S intergenic spacer region
Rfam family: Bacterial small subunit ribosomal RNA
Source: RNAcentral